Molecule: long non-coding RNA, 514 nt
Filed under: Triticum aestivum (bread wheat)
Lineage: Eukaryota; Viridiplantae; Streptophyta; Magnoliopsida; Poales; Poaceae
Description: long non-coding RNA (TAES_LNC023199)
Source: RNAcentral
GCCCCUGUUUGUCUCUUUAUGUCGUGCAGCACAAAUCUGGAGCCCUCGCCAUGGCCGCCAAUAUUCAUCUACGCUCUACGGGUACACGGUACAUCUUCCUCCCUUGCCAGUUGCUCAAUAUUCUAGCCUAAUGAUGCGUUUAUUAAUCCCCAAUCCACGGACUCUUGCUUUCUACCCAUUCAAUAUGUUCAUGUACCAGAUUCAGAAGGCAAUUACCUCAUUCAUCUUGAUCUACGAUCUCCUUUUUCUCUGUAGGUUUGAUGAAGAUUUGGAUAACUAGCUAGAUUUUUAUGUGAAAAUUCUGUACACUUUGCCCAAGGUUGUUUGUCGGCAGGCCAUUUGCUACAGAUGCAACCAAAUUAAUUUACCAUGUAUGUAGUACACAUUUUCAUUUAAUGGUUCUAUGUCAUAUGGAGCAAUGAUUUCCUUAUGAUAUGAAUGCUUGUGAUGCGAUUGUGUCAGUUUGUAAAUGGGCAUAGUUGAAUGAAAGUUUCAGGUAUGAGGUGCUACAUUU